GGAGUUGUGGCUCAGCAGUAGAGCGCUCACCUAGCAUGUGUGGGGCCCUGGGUUUGAUCCUCAGCAACACAU
Transfer RNA from Ictidomys tridecemlineatus (thirteen-lined ground squirrel), 72 nucleotides. It matches the Rfam family "tRNA". From Rfam's summary of the family: Transfer RNA (tRNA) molecules are approximately 80 nucleotides in length. Their secondary structure includes four short double-helical elements and three loops (D, anti-codon, and T loops). Further hydrogen bonds mediate the characteristic L-shaped molecular structure. tRNAs have two regions of fundamental functional importance: the anti-codon, which is responsible for specific mRNA codon recognition, and the 3' end, to which the tRNAs corresponding amino acid is attached (by aminoacyl-tRNA synthetases). tRNAs cope with the degeneracy of the genetic code in two manners: having more than one tRNA (with a specific anti-codon) for a particular amino acid; and 'wobble' base-pairing, i.e. permitting non-standard base-pairing at the 3rd anti-codon position. Lineage: Eukaryota; Metazoa; Chordata; Mammalia; Rodentia; Sciuridae. The record is from Rfam.